This 76-nucleotide transfer RNA is filed under the name Cohnella thailandensis. RNAcentral describes it as "tRNA-Ala". It matches the Rfam family "tRNA". From Rfam's summary of the family: Transfer RNA (tRNA) molecules are approximately 80 nucleotides in length. Lineage: Bacteria; Bacillati; Bacillota; Bacilli; Caryophanales; Paenibacillaceae. The record is from RNAcentral. RNAcentral also lists the same sequence under 2 other names.
GGGCCCAUAGCUCAGCUGGGAGAGCGCAUCGCUGGCAGCGAUGAGGUCAGGGGUUCGAUCCCCCUUGGGUCCACCA